AACGCAAAUUGCGCCCGAGGCUUCGGCCAAGGGCAUGUCCGCCUCAGCGUCGCUUUACCCCCUCACCCUAUUCCCCAUAUUGGAGAAUAAUGGUGGAACUGGCUCUCCCAAUGCCUAUGCUAUUCGUAGCAUAAUCGCUGGGUUGGCUGAAGCAAAGAGGUUGAUGCAUGGACCCGUUAAUGGGCCUCGGCUGGGUAGGCAGAAAUGCUAUAUUGCUUUAGCCGUUGGCUUGGGACCGCGCUUGUCGACCCAAACCAGGAAUAAUAGGACUGCGGCCCUAUUAACUUUCAACUUUCGACCUGAGCUCAGGCAAGAACACCCGCUGAACUUAA
Molecule: unclassified non-coding RNA, 332 nt
Filed under: uncultured Chlorophyceae
Lineage: Eukaryota; Viridiplantae; Chlorophyta; Chlorophyceae
Description: sequence contains 5.8S rRNA gene, ITS2, 28S rRNA gene
Source: RNAcentral